AUUGAACGCUGGCGGCAGGCCUAACACAUGCAAGUCGAACGGUAACAGGAAACAGCUUGCUGUUUCGCUGACGAGUGGCGGACGGGUGAGUAAUGUCUGGGAAACUGCCUGAUGGAGGGGGAUAACUACUGGAAACGGUAGCUAAUACCGCAUAACGUCGCAAGACCAAAGAGGGGGACCCUCGGGCCGCUUGCCAUCGGAUGUGCCCAGAUGGGAUUAGCUUGUUGGUGGGGUAACGGCUCACCAAGGCGACGAUCCCUAGCUGGUCUGAGAGGAUGACCAGCCACACUGGAACUGAGACACGGUCCAGACUCCUACGGGAGGCAGCAGUGGGGAAUAUUGCACAAUGGGCGCAAGCCUGAUGCAGCCAUGCCGCGUGUAUGAAGAAGGCCUUCGGGUUGUAAAGUACUUUCAGCGGGGAGGAAGGGAGUAAAGUUAAUACCUUUGCUCAUUGACGUUACCCGCAGAAGAAGCACCGGCUAACUCCGUG
This 490-nucleotide ribosomal RNA is filed under the name uncultured bacterium. RNAcentral's name for it is "partial 16S ribosomal RNA". It matches the Rfam family "Bacterial small subunit ribosomal RNA", at positions 30 to 507 of the family's 1533-position model. The record is from RNAcentral.